UACGUAGGGUGCAAGCGUUAAUCGGAAUUACUGGGCGUAAAGCGAGCGCAGGCGGUUAUGUAAGACAGAUGUGAAAUCCCAGGGCUUAACCUUGGAACUGCAUUUGUGACUGCAUGGCUAGAGUGUGUCAGAGGGGGGUGGAACUCCACGUGUAGCAGUGAAAUGCGUAGAGAUGUGGAAGAACACCGAUGGCGAAGGCAGCCCCCUGGGAGAACACUGACGCGCAUGCUCGAAAGCGUGGGGAGCAAACAGG
Molecule: ribosomal RNA, 253 nt
Filed under: uncultured bacterium
Lineage: Bacteria
Description: partial 16S ribosomal RNA
Rfam family: Bacterial small subunit ribosomal RNA
Source: RNAcentral